GUAAGGAAUAUUGGUCAAUGGGCGAAAGCCUGAACCAGCCAUGCCGCGUGGAGGAUGAAGGUCCUCUGGAUUGUAAACUUCUUUUAUUUGGGACGAAAAAAGGGAAUUCUUUCUCGCUUGACGGUACCAGAUGAAUAAGCACCGGCUAACUCCGUGCCAGCAGCCGCGGUAAUACGGAGGGUGCAAGCGUUAUCCGGAUUCACUGGGUUUAAAGGGUGCGUAGGCGGGCAGGUAAGUCAGUGGUGAAAUCUUUGGGCUUAACCCGAAAACUGCCAUUGAUACUAUCUGUCUUGAAUAUUGUGGAGGUUUGCGGAAUAUGUCAUGUAGCGGUGAAAUGCUUAGAUAUGACAUAGAACACCUAUUGCGAAGGCAGCAAACUACGCAUAUAUUGACGCUGAGGCACGAAAGCGUGGGGAUCAAACAGGAUUAGAUACCCGAGUAGUCC
Molecule: ribosomal RNA, 445 nt
Filed under: uncultured bacterium
Lineage: Bacteria
Description: bacterial SSU rRNA
Rfam family: Bacterial small subunit ribosomal RNA
Source: RNAcentral